RNAcentral lists this long non-coding RNA (360 nucleotides) under Lathyrus oleraceus (garden pea). RNAcentral describes it as "Pisum sativum (pea) long non-coding RNA (PSAT_LNC010066)". The record is from RNAcentral. Lineage: Eukaryota; Viridiplantae; Streptophyta; Magnoliopsida; Fabales; Fabaceae.
GAAUGGGAAGAAAGAAACCACGACCAGACAUCUCUCGAUGAAUGGGAAGAAAGGAACCACGACCAGACAUCUCUCGAUGAAUGGGAAGAAAGAAACCACGACCAGACAUCAACGGAUGAAUGGGAAGAAAGAAACCACGACCAGACAUCUACCGAUGAAUGGGAAGAAAGAAACCACGACCAGACAUCUACCGAUGAAUGGGAAGAAAGAAACCACGACCAGACAUCUACCGAUGAAUGGGAAGAAAGAAACCACGACCAGACAUCUCUCGAUGAAUGGGAAGAAAGAAACCACGACCAGACAUCAACGGAUGAAUGGGAAUAAAGAAACCACGACCAGACAUCUACCGAUGAAUGGGAA